AGCAAAUGAGAUACACCUGAAGGAUGGGGAACUACUCUAUUCAAUAUUCUAGAGCAGGGAGAGCAUCUGUUUCUAAGGAGACCUGCAGCUAAAAGCAUCUGCUUCCAAGUCCAAGUCAAAAAGCCUAACAGAGUGAGCACACUAAGGGGAGUUGGGCUGGCCCGACUGCCCCUUCCCCCUGGUUUCCCAGGGAACCUGUUAGAAACCUGACAGUGGUCCCCAACAUGUAGUUAGUUCCCUGAAUGCCCGCGCCAGAAUCACCUGAAGUUUGUGAAAAUGCAGGCUUCUGGGCCAUUUCCUCAGAGAUUAUGAUUCAGCAAGCUCGGAAGGGCCUGGGAAUCAGCAAAGUGAAGCUGAUGGGAAGACAGUUAACACUGAAGAUCAGAGAACUCGGGCAACUUUCCUGAGACAGCACAGCAGCUGAGAAGCAGUCACGUCCAGCCGACAUUCAGUCAGCACCUAACAGGUCCUGGGCACUGGUUGGGACACAAAGAGGUGUAGAACCUGGCUUGGUCCUUCGAGGCAGCUCACUGCAGCUACCGGAACAGGUCUCAUUGAGCUAUUUGUUCUGUAAUUUUAUUCUCUGCUGUGAAUGUUGAUAGACAGGGAACAAAUAUCUCCUGGUUGGACUCUCCAAGCAUGGGGCACUGGGGAAGGAUGUCAAGCUCUGAGACCAUUGUUCACGAUGAGCGGCUGCACCCGCCCGCCCGCCAGCCUUUUAUCCAACUUGGCUGGGUGCUAUUAUUCAGCUCUGAGCCAUCACCAGGAGCUGCAAAGCAGUUAAUUACAGAAGUAUAAUCCCCUUCUUCACGAGAAGCUGAUCUUCUAGGGUUGCGAGAAGAUAAGAUUUAUGCCUCUUUCAAUUCCUUUAUUCUCUCAUCAACAUAGAUUCAUAUUUCAGUUUCCUGCAUUGGAAACAAAAAGGAAACUCGCUCAGCCCACUGCUGCCUGAGAGAGAUAAAUUAGGCUACACAAAGAACCAGUCCUGUAAACUCAAUCUCUUUCCCUUCCUUUCAUGUUUGUGAUUAUAAACAGAGUCAAGGGCAGUUGAAAUAUAACCCUCUGCCUGCCUGCCUGACUGCCUGUCCUAAUCAAAGAGAGGAGACAAACGCAGUGAUAGCGAUCCAUGUGGUGCUAGGAAAGAGGGACGCAGGCCCCCCAUGAUCCCACGCCAGCCUGGUGAGCAGAUCAGAUAGAAAGGCCUUUGUCUCUAACCAUUCUCUGGUCACAAAAUUGUUUCAAAAGGCCACGGAGAGAAGCUGGAUGCCGCGCUAUGGCAAAUGCUUUCAUUGUCUUGAUGGCAACGUGCAUGAUGCUAUUUGCUCAAAAGAAAGGCCUUUCGCUUUGGCGGGCUGUGCACUGUGAAUGUGCCAGGGCUCCUGGCCAGUCUCAGAAGUGUGCGGACAGAGGUCGCCAGAGGAUCAGACCACAGAACAAGGCCAGGGUUGGCAGCCCCGAGGAGCAGAGAGAUUCCAGGCUCUUCUGAGAGGAGAGGCCCACUUACUGAGAGCAGUCCUGAGUGAAAUGACGUUAUCUGACCGAGGAAUCAGGGCGGGUUUUUUUAAAUUAUUAUUGUUGUUGCUAUCCAACUGCUUUUGUUGUUUUUGAGCAUCACUGGAGGGAACUGCGGAGAGUUCGGUUGGCAGAUGAGGAAGAAGGGGGCCACAGGAAGGAGCCGAUUUGCUCAAGGACACAGGGCAAAUGUGUGGCAGAAGUGAGAAUGACAAAAGUCCUGAUCACAACAGUGGAUCGCGGCGCCUACUGUAACGCACCAGACACUGUGCUAAGCAUCACCAUCCCUCAUCUUCAUGACAAUUAAAAAGCAAGCCGCAUCACCCACACUUACAGAGAAGGAAACUGAGGCUCAGAGGAGGGACUCCUUUCUGGCAUCCUGACUCUUCUUGGAGGACUUUUUGCAACUGCUGGUUGGCGAAGGGGAAAAUCUAAUUUUUGAAGGAUAAUGAAGAAAGGGAGGAAGGCAGGAGAAGAAACAGAAUACAAGAGCCAAGUUGGCCCCCAUAAUAAAAUGUCAUCCCACAAGAUGUAAGACAAUAGUCUUUAAUAGACUUCGAGAUUCAAUUAUCCCUUUAUAUUUGCAUCAGACCCAUCACCAUCUAAAUUAUCCAUUCACCGUGAACACACCCUAAUUCACAAAUCGAAUAUUAAGCAAAUGAAGUUUGAGAGCCGGGUAGCCUGUAAGCCGUCACUCCUCAAAGACACACA
This is a long non-coding RNA of Callithrix jacchus (white-tufted-ear marmoset), 2223 nucleotides long. RefSeq lists it as uncharacterized. The record is from RefSeq and is a predicted model, not a curated record. NCBI's taxonomy places the organism in Eukaryota, Metazoa, Chordata, Mammalia, Primates, Cebidae.